GUUGACCUCGGAUCAGGUAGGAAGACCCGCUGAACUUAAGCAUAUCAAUAAGCGGAGGAAAAGAAACCAACAGGGAUUGCCCUAGUAACGGCGAGUGAAGCGGCAACAGCUCAAAUUUGAAAUCUGGCCUCGGCCCGAGUUGUAAUUUGUAGAGGAAGCUUUAGGCGCGGCACCUUCUGAGUCCCCUGGAACGGGGCGCCACAGAGGGUGAGAGCCCCGUAUAGUUGGAUGCCUAGCCUGUGUAAAGCUCCUUCGACGAGUCGAGUAGUUUGGGAAUGCUGCUCAAAAUGGGAGGUAAAUUUCUUCUAAAGCUAAAUACCGGCCAGAGACCGAUAGCGCACAAGUAGAGUGAUCGAAAGAUGAAAAGCACUUUGAAAAGAGGGUUAAAUAGCACGUGAAAUUGUUGAAAGGGAAGCGCUUGUGACCAGACUUGCGCCGGGCGGAUCAUCCGGUGUUCUCACCGGUGCACUCCGCCCGGCUCAGGCCAGCAUCGGUUCUCGCGGGGGGAUAAAGGCCCCGGGAACGUAGCUCCUCCGGGAGUGUUAUAGCCCGGGGCGUAAU
RNAcentral lists this ribosomal RNA (561 nucleotides) under Achaetomium cristalliferum. Its description in RNAcentral is "partial large subunit ribosomal RNA". It matches the Rfam family "Eukaryotic large subunit ribosomal RNA", at positions 1 to 572 of the family's 3401-position model. The record is from RNAcentral. Lineage: Eukaryota; Fungi; Ascomycota; Sordariomycetes; Sordariales; Chaetomiaceae.